AGGACGAACGCUGGCGGCGUGCUUAACACAUGCAAGUCGAACGGUGAAGCCCUUCGGGGUGGAUCAGUGGCGAACGGGUGAGUAACACGUGAGCAACCUACCCUUGACUCUGGGAUAACUCCGGGAAACCGGUGCUAAUACCGGAUACGAGCAUCGACCUCAUGGUCUGGUGCUGGAAAGAAUUUUGGUCAGGGAUGGGCUCGCGGCCUAUCAGCUUGUUGGUGAGGUAAUGGCUCACCAAGGCGACGACGGGUAGCCGGCCUGAGAGGGCGA
Molecule: ribosomal RNA, 273 nt
Filed under: uncultured soil bacterium
Lineage: Bacteria
Description: partial 16S ribosomal RNA
Rfam family: Bacterial small subunit ribosomal RNA
Source: RNAcentral